AACCGCUAUCUAAUGUUUUGAAAACAUAAAAAAAGUAUUAAAUAUACUUAUCGGUUU
Molecule: transfer RNA, 57 nt
Filed under: Ramazzottius varieornatus
Lineage: Eukaryota; Metazoa; Tardigrada; Eutardigrada; Parachela; Ramazzottiidae
Description: tRNA-Ser
Source: RNAcentral